GAUGAACGCUAGCGGCAGGCUUAAUACAUGCAAGUCGAACGGGAUUCGAGGUAGCAAUACUUUGAUGAGAGUGGCGCACGGGUGCGUAACGCGUAUGCAACCUACCUUUAACAGGUGAAUAGCCCCGAGAAAUCGGGAUUAAUACACCGUAACAUUGCGCUGUGGCAUCACAGUGCAAUUAAAGAUUUAUCGGUUAAAGAUGGGCAUGCGUGACAUUAGCUAGUUGGUGAGGUAACGGCUCACCAAGGCAACGAUGUCUAGGGGUCCUGAGAGGGUUAUCCCCCACACUGGUACUGAGACACGGACCAGACUCCUACGGGAGGCAGCAGUAAGGAUAUUGGUCAAUGGGCGCAAGCCUGAACCAGCCAUGCCGCGUGCAGGAAGACGGCCCUAUGGGUUGUAAACUGCUUUUGCAGGGAAUAAACCUUUGUACGUGUACAGAGCUGAAGGUACCUGAAGAAUAAGCAUCGGCUAACUCCGUGCCAGCAGCCGC
RNAcentral lists this ribosomal RNA (493 nucleotides) under uncultured bacterium. RNAcentral's name for it is "bacterial SSU rRNA". It matches the Rfam family "Bacterial small subunit ribosomal RNA", at positions 28 to 518 of the family's 1533-position model. The record is from RNAcentral.